GCUUAGUGGCGAACGGGUGAGUAACACGUAGGCGACCUGCCCAAAAGAGGGGGAUAACACUUGGAAACAGGUGCUAAUACCGCAUAACCAUGAACACCGCAUGAUGUUCAUGUAAAAGACGGCUUUUGCUGUCACUUUUGGAUGGGCCUGCGGCGUAUUAACUUGUUGGUGGGGUAACGGCCUACCAAGGUGAUGAUACGUAGCCGAACUGAGAGGUUGAUCGGCCACAUUGGGACUGAGACACGGCCCAAACUCCUACGGGAGGCAGCAGUAGGGAAUCUUCCACAAUGGACGCAAGUCUGAUGGAGCAACGCCGCGUGAAUGAAGAAGGCCUUCGGGUCGUAAAAUUCUGUUGUCAGAGAAGAACGUGCGUGAGAGUAACUGUUCACGUAUUGACGGUAUCUGACCAGAAAGCCACGGCUAACUACGUGCCAGCAGCCGCGGUAAUACGUAGGUGGCGAGCGUUGUCCGGAUUUAUUGGGCGUAAAGGGAACGCAGGCGGUCUUUUAAGUCUGAUGUGAAAGCCUUCGGCUUAACCGAAGUAGUGCAUUGGAAACUGGAAGACUUGAGUGCAGAAGAGGAGAGUGGAACUCCAUGUGUAGCGGUGAAAUGCGUAGAUAUAUGGAAGAACACCAGUGGCGAAAGCGGCUCUCUGGUCUGUAACUGACGCUGAGGUUCGAAAGCGUGGGUAGCAAACAGGAUUAGAUACCCUGGUAGUCCAUUCCGUAAACGAUGAGUUUUAAGUGUUGGAGGG
This 754-nucleotide ribosomal RNA is filed under the name uncultured bacterium. RNAcentral's name for it is "bacterial SSU rRNA". It matches the Rfam family "Bacterial small subunit ribosomal RNA", at positions 90 to 830 of the family's 1533-position model. The record is from RNAcentral.